GCCCGCUUGGCUAAGUGGUAUAGCGUGUCACUAGUAAAGAUAUCAUUCACAAAAAUAUUGUUAUCUAUCGUGUCAUGACAAGAUCAGCGGUUCGAUUCCGCUAGUGGGCA
Molecule: non-coding RNA, 110 nt
Organism: Xylariaceae sp. FL0594
Lineage: Eukaryota; Fungi; Ascomycota; Sordariomycetes; Xylariales; Xylariaceae
Source: the annotation of a GenBank genome assembly